GACGAACGCUGGCGGCGUGCCUAACACAUGCAAGUCGAACGGAGCUUUUAUGGAAUGCGACUUCGGUCAAAUGAAGUUUAAGCUUAGUGGCGGACGGGUGAGUAACGCGUGAGCAACCUGCCUUUCAGAGGGGGACAACAGUUGGAAACGACUGCUAAUACCGCAUAACGUACAUUUAAGGCAUCUUAGAUGUACCAAAGAUUUAUCGCUGAAAGAUGGGCUCGCGUCCGAUUAGGUAGUUGGUGGGGUAAUGGCCUACCAAGCCGACGAUCGGUAGCCGGACUGAGAGGUUGAACGGCCACAUUGGGACUGAGACACGGCCCAGACUCCUAC
Molecule: ribosomal RNA, 333 nt
Filed under: uncultured bacterium
Lineage: Bacteria
Description: bacterial SSU rRNA
Rfam family: Bacterial small subunit ribosomal RNA
Source: RNAcentral